CCAGUAUUCCAUUUACAAAUCGAACUGUGAUGGUUUGCACAAGAGCAUAGCCAGCAAGGUCCAGUGGACUUAUAUGACCAAUAAAUGAUUGUGUGACCACUAUGGUUCCAAAUGAACCCACUCUUGAUAUGACUCCAGGUAGUGCAACCCUCCAUAUAUUCUUAGAUUCUUGUAAAAUCUUUGAUUUUAAAUCAGUUUCUUCUUCUUGAACUUUUGGCACUAUAAGCCUCUCGUUCAAUCCAUUCUCCAUACUUCUGCAAAGUGUUCCAGAAUGAUCAUCAGAGGGGUACAAAAUGUGCUUCUCGCCACAAAAUUUUGAUGCAAAGAAGUGCUAGAGCAUUUUCUUCUAUGUUUUGCUAUUUAAAUAUACAACUUACCAACUUCAGGUUGCCCGUUUAUAUCAGUAAGAGACUAUUACUAAGGUUUUCAUAAACAAUUCUAUGUGUAAGAAUCAGAAUUUUUGUUAAUAUAAAAAUACCACAUAUCACUCCCAACACCACUAAACACAUGUUGAAAAAUGAAGCAGUGACAUGGGAAUUAUAUUCCCAUGGGCCAUGGUCAUGGACUAAUGCCAUAUUUAGCUACAUUUCCUAAAAUACAAUAAGCAAUAACACCAUUACUCCAUGAAUAUUUCCAUGAACUAUGGCCAGAGCAGUUGAUUGAUUGUUGAAAAACAUGCAUAUCUCCAUGGAUCCGGAUCUAAGAUGCACAAGCAGUCAAUUAAAAUAUUACCUACUUUAUAUUUCAAUGGAAUGAACCACAGUGAUAUAUAUCCUCCCCUUUUUGCUAUAGACUCUUCCUGGCCGAGUAGCAUGAAUAACUGGCUUCCAAAUAUGAAUACUGGGAGCAAGAUAGUCAAAGUAAUCAAAUCAACAAUCCAUGACCGUUGCAAGUAGAUACCCAUCAUAUGGUAUUGUCCUGCUCCAAAUGCUUGCCCACAAAGGGUUUCAGUUGCACUUGACAUUCCUAACUGCAAAAGGAAAUAAUAAGUAUGAUGUAAUAUUUACAACUAACAAAGAAGUUUAAAAAUUCUCAGUUCCAAGUGCAAAGGUAACUGAAAGAGUUUAUAGAUAUUAACUCACCAGUAUUCCAUUUACAAAUCGAACUGUGAUGGUUUGCACAAGAGCAUAGCCAGCAAGGUCCAGUGGACUUAUAUGACCAAUAAAUGAUUGUGUGACCACUAUGGUUCCAAAUGAACCCACUCUUGAUAUGACUCCAGGUAGUGCAACCCUCCAUAUAUUCUUAGAUUCUUGUAAAAUCUUUGAUUUUAAAUCAGUUUCUUCUUCUUGAACUUUUGGCACUAUAAGCCUCUCGUUCAAUCCAUUCUCCAUACUUCUGCAAAGUGUUCCAGAAUGAUCAUCAGAGGGGUACAAAAUGUGCUUCUCGCCACAAAAUUUUGAUGCAAAGAAGUGCUAGAGCAUUUUCUUCUAUGUUUUGCUAUUUAAAUAUACAACUUACCAACUUCAGGUUGCCCGUUUAUAUCAGUAAGAGACUAUUACUAAGGUUUUCAUAAACAAUUCUAUGUGUAAGAAUCAGAAUUUUUGUUAAUAUAAAAAUACCACAUAUCACUCCCAACACCACUAAACACAUGUUGAAAAAUGAAGCAGUGACAUGGGAAUUAUAUUCCCAUGGGCCAUGGUCAUGGACUAAUGCCAUAUUUAGCUACAUUUCCUAAAAUACAAUAAGCAAUAACACCAUUACUCCAUGAAUAUUUCCAUGAACUAUGGCCAGAGCAGUUGAUUGAUUGUUGAAAAACAUGCAUAUCUCCAUGGAUCCGGAUCUAAGAUGCACAAGCAGUCAAUUAAAAUAUUACCUACUUUAUAUUUCUGGGCCAAAUGACCCCAGUACCAACUACUACUUUUUACUACAAAAUAAAGUAGGAAAGCUUCUUUUUCUCUUCAAUAAAAAGGGUGUCUGCUCCUAUUGUUUUAUUCAACAUAUUACUAUAAAUCAAAGUCAGAAACCAACAGACCAGAUUCACUUUUUCCGGUGAAUGAGGCCUUUAUCUUCUACCAGUUAUUGUAUUAGAAUUUAGGAGGCAAGACCAGAGAAGAUGAUCUUAACUUGAAAUAUACAUGAUCAGAUAUCAUGAGAGGGUCAACUUAAACUGAUCAAACAUGACUACAAGAGUGAAGAGGUAAUAAUGGAAAUACAAGUACCAAAAAAGAACCACAAAAUCAUCAAGUAUGUAAUAUGUUUGUCAAUGAUUAUAGUGGGACUAAAGCAGAGCCAUGUUUUAUUUGCUUAUCAUCUAAACAGAAGUAUAAGUGUGCAUAUAAAUUUCAGAGUCUUGAUUAUUGGGUAGCCUAGCAAUAUCAGCAUAACAUGAAAAAGAUG
RNAcentral lists this long non-coding RNA (2337 nucleotides) under Daucus carota (carrot). RNAcentral's name for it is "long non-coding RNA (DCAR_LNC004515)". The record is from RNAcentral. Lineage: Eukaryota; Viridiplantae; Streptophyta; Magnoliopsida; Apiales; Apiaceae.